CUUUAUAGCCAUACCACCCUAAAUGUACCCAGUAUGAGAUCUCUGAAGCUAAGCAGUGUUGGGCCUGAUUAGUACUUGGAUGAGAGACAGCUUUAUUGCUGAAGC
RNAcentral lists this ribosomal RNA (105 nucleotides) under Sus scrofa (pig). Lineage: Eukaryota; Metazoa; Chordata; Mammalia; Artiodactyla; Suidae. The record is from RNAcentral.